This 348-nucleotide long non-coding RNA is filed under the name Cyanistes caeruleus (blue tit). Its description in RNAcentral is "lncRNA (ENSCCEG00000015224.1)". The record is from RNAcentral. Lineage: Eukaryota; Metazoa; Chordata; Aves; Passeriformes; Paridae.
GUGUGCCAAGCCCCCAUGGGCCGUGCCAAUGCUGCACAGUCUGCUCUGUUGGUGCCCAGAACGAGAUGGUUGUGGGAGGCAGAGCUGGCUGAGCACCUUAGCAAAUCUGCUUUCCCUGGCAGCAUCCUGUGUGCCUGGAGGUGCCCCCAGCCUGCCCUCCCAGGGAUCUGCAGAGGGAACAUGCCCUGCUGGAUGAACAAGCUGUGGAAUGCCAAGCCUCUUCUACAGCUCCUCUACAGGUGGUGGCUGGUGGAGUACCUCCUUCCAGUCAGGCAGCACAGGAGCUACAAAGAGAGCAACAAGAAUCCUGUCCUCAGCCCCACUGUGAGAGCAACAUUCCUACCCUGA